GAUGAACGCUGGCGGCGUGCCUAAUACAUGCAAGUCGAGCGAACGGACGAGAAGCUUGCUUCUCUGAUGUUAGCGGCGGACGGGUGAGUAACACGUGGAUAACCUACCUAUAAGACUGGGAUAACUUCGGGAAACCGGAGCUAAUACCGGAUGAUAUUUUGAACCGCAUGGUUCAAAAGUGAAAGACGGUCUUGCUGUCACUUAUAGAUGGAUCCGCGCUGCAUUAGCUAGUUGGUAAUGUAACGGCUUACCAAGGCAACGAUGCAUAGCCGACCUGAGAGGGUGAUCGGCCACACUGGAACUGAGACACGGUCCAGACUCCUACGGGAGGCAGCAGUAGGGAAUCUUCCGCAAUGGGCGAAAGCCUGACGGAGCAACGCCGCGUGAGUGAUGAGGGUCUUCGGAUCGUAAAACUCUGUUAUUAGGGAAGAACAUAUGUGUAAGUAACUGUGCACAUCUUGACGGUACCUAAUCAGAAAGCCACGGCUAACUACGUG
RNAcentral lists this ribosomal RNA (497 nucleotides) under uncultured bacterium. Its description in RNAcentral is "partial 16S ribosomal RNA". It matches the Rfam family "Bacterial small subunit ribosomal RNA", at positions 28 to 507 of the family's 1533-position model. The record is from RNAcentral.